CGGAACGGUCAUAGCUGCCUGGUUCUACCCGAUCUCGUUCGAUCUCGGUCGUCAAGCAGGCAUACGUUCUCGGCUGUACUGCUCUCUGUGGCGGAAAACCGAGAAAGCUGUUCCAC
This 116-nucleotide ribosomal RNA is filed under the name Nanobdellota archaeon. Lineage: Archaea; Nanobdellati; Nanobdellota. The record is from RNAcentral.